Molecule: long non-coding RNA, 379 nt
Organism: Lagenorhynchus albirostris (white-beaked dolphin)
Lineage: Eukaryota; Metazoa; Chordata; Mammalia; Artiodactyla; Delphinidae
Exons: 3
Source: RefSeq, a predicted model, not a curated record
CACGAUCCGUAAGGAUUCCGAGCUACCGGAGACUCCAGUUCUUGUCUUGUUGCUCCACCAUCCCUCGGGCAUGGCCCUUGUCUGAAUGAAUAUUUGACCACACAUGGGUGGAUGGAUAUUCCAGCCAGGAGGACUGAGGGUCCCUGUCCUGACCUCCGGAGCUUACAAUGAAAUGAACUGAGCCAGAGAGGAUGCUACAGCAGAGAGAGACGAUGGCCAGCGUGACAGAAGGGAUUCAUCUAAGAUUCUUUUCCAUUAUAGGUUAUUACAAGAUAUUGAAUAUAGUUCCCUGUGCUAUACAGUAAGUUCUUGUUAUUUAUCUAUUUUGUAUAUAGUAGUGUGUAUCUGUUAAUCUCAAACUCCUAAUUUAUCCCUCCCC